GACGAACGCUGGCGGCGUGCUUAACACAUGCAAGUCGAGCGAGGCCCCUCCUUCGGGAGGGUGACCUAGCGGCGAACGGGUGAGUAACACGUGGGCAAUCUGCCCCUAGCUCUGGGAUAACCCCGGGAAACCGGGCUAAUACUGGAUAUGACUUCGGAGGGCAUCCUCCGCGGUAGGAAAAGGUUUACUGGCUAGGGAUGAGCCCGCGGCCUAUCAGCUUGUUGGUGGGGUAAAGCCUACCAAGGCGACGACGGGUAGCCGGCCUGAGAGGGCGACCGGCCACACUGGGACUGAGACACGGCCCAGACUCCUACGGGAGGCAGCAGUGGGGAAUAUUGCACAAUGGGCGAAAGCCUGAUGCAGCGACGCCGCGUGAGGGAUGACGGCCU
This 389-nucleotide ribosomal RNA is filed under the name uncultured bacterium. RNAcentral's name for it is "bacterial SSU rRNA". It matches the Rfam family "Bacterial small subunit ribosomal RNA", at positions 28 to 417 of the family's 1533-position model. The record is from RNAcentral.